AUUGAACGCUGGCGGCAUGCUUUACACAUGCAAGUCGAACGGUAACAGGGUGCUUGCACCGCUGACGAGUGGCGAACGGGUGAGUAACGCGUCGGAACGUGCCGAGUAGUGGGGGAUAACGCAGCGAAAGUUGUGCUAAUACCGCAUACGUACUGAGGUAGAAAGUGGGGGACCUUCGGGCCUCACGCUAUUCGAGCGGCCGACGUCUGAUUAGCUAGUAGGUGAGGUAAAGGCUCACCUAGGCGACGAUCAGUAGCGGGUCUGGGAGGAUGAUCCGCCACACGGGGACUGAGACACGGCCCAGACUCCUACGGGAGGCAGCAGUGGGGAAUUUUGGACAAUGGGCGAAAGCCCGAUCCAGCCAUGCCGCGUGUCUGAAGAAGGCCUUCGGGUUGUAAAGGACUUUUGUCAGGGAGGAAAUCCCUAGUGCUAAUAACACUGGGGGAUGACAGUACCUGAAGAAUAAGCACCGGCUAACUACGUGCCAGCAGCCGCCGUAA
This 500-nucleotide ribosomal RNA is filed under the name uncultured bacterium. RNAcentral describes it as "partial 16S ribosomal RNA". It matches the Rfam family "Bacterial small subunit ribosomal RNA", at positions 30 to 523 of the family's 1533-position model. The record is from RNAcentral.